RNAcentral lists this ribosomal RNA (455 nucleotides) under uncultured bacterium. RNAcentral describes it as "bacterial SSU rRNA". It matches the Rfam family "Bacterial small subunit ribosomal RNA", at positions 340 to 786 of the family's 1533-position model. The record is from RNAcentral.
UACGGAAGGCAGCAGUGGGGAAUAUUGCACAAUGGGCGCAAGCCUGAUGCAGCCAUGCCGCGUGUAUGAAGAAGGCCUUCGGGUUGUAAAGUACUUUCAGCGGGGAGGAAGGCGAUGUGGUUAAUAACCGCGUCGAUUGACGUUACCCGCAGAAGAAGCACCGGCUAACUCCGUGCCAGCAGCCGCGGUAAUACGGAGGGUGCAAGCGUUAAUCGGAAUUACUGGGCGUAAAGCGCACGCAGGCGGUCUGUUAAGUCAGAUGUGAAAUCCCCGGGCUUAACCUGGGAACUGCAUUUUGAAACUGGCAGGCUUGAGUCUCGUAGAGGGGGUAGAAUUCCAGGUGUAGCGGUGAAAUGCGUAGAGAUCUGGAGGAAUACCGGGUGGCGAAGGCGGCCCCUGGGACGAAGACUGACGCUCAGGUGCGAAAGCGUGGGGAGCAAACAGGAUUAGAUACC